This 253-nucleotide ribosomal RNA is filed under the name uncultured bacterium. Its description in RNAcentral is "partial 16S ribosomal RNA". It matches the Rfam family "Bacterial small subunit ribosomal RNA", at positions 524 to 776 of the family's 1533-position model. The record is from RNAcentral.
UACGUAGGGUGCAAGCGUUGUCCGGAAUUAUUGGGCGUAAAGAGCUCGUAGGCGGUUUGUUGCGUCGGCUGUGAAAUCCCGAGGCUCAACCUCGGGUCUGCAGUCGAUACGGGCGGACUGGAGUUCGGCAGGGGAGACUGGAAUUCCUGGUGUAGCGGUGAAAUGCGCAGAUAUCAGGAGGAACACCGGUGGCGAAGGCAGCUCGCUGGGACGUAACUGACGCUGAGACGCGAAAGCGUGGGGAGCAAACAGG